AUUGAACGCUGGCGGCAUGCCUUACACAUGCAAGUCGAACGGCAGCAUGAUCUAGCUUGCUCGAUUGAUGGCGAGUGGCGAACGGGUGAGUAAUACAUCGGAACGUGCCCUGUAGUGGGGGAUAACUAGUCGAAAGAUUAGCUAAUACCGCAUACGACCUGAGGGUGAAAGUGGGGGACCGCAAGGCCUCAUGCUAUAGGAGCGGCCGAUGUCUGAUUAGCUAGUUGGUGAGGUAAAGGCUCACCAAGGCGACGAUCAGUAGCUGGUCUGAGAGGACGAUCAGCCACACUGGGACUGAGACACGGCCCAGACUCCUACGGGAGGCAGCAGUGGGGAAUUUUAGACAAUGGGCGAAAGCCUGAUCCAGCAAUGCCGCGUGUGUGAAGAAGGCCUUCGGGUUGUAAAGCACUUUUGUCCGGAAAGAAAUGGCUCUGGUUAAUACCUGGGGUCGAUGACGGUACCGGAAGAAUAAGGACCGGCUAACUACGUG
RNAcentral lists this ribosomal RNA (490 nucleotides) under uncultured bacterium. Its description in RNAcentral is "partial 16S ribosomal RNA". It matches the Rfam family "Bacterial small subunit ribosomal RNA", at positions 30 to 507 of the family's 1533-position model. The record is from RNAcentral.